Molecule: RNA transcript, 1330 nt
Organism: Dipodomys ordii (Ord's kangaroo rat)
Lineage: Eukaryota; Metazoa; Chordata; Mammalia; Rodentia; Heteromyidae
Gene name: heterogeneous nuclear ribonucleoprotein D-like pseudogene
Exons: 2
Source: RefSeq, a predicted model, not a curated record
AUGCCGAACGGAUCCCUAGAUGUCAAGAUCUGCACAAAAAUUCUGGGGCGCAGUCAUACACUCUUCCGCCGCCAUUUUAAAUCUAGCUCCAUACAACGCUCCACCGCUGCCGCCAGCCGGACUACGCGCCACCACCCUCCGACCGACCAUUCCGCCACCAUGGAGGACAUGAACGAGUACAGCAACAUAGAGGAGUUCGCAGAGGGAUCCAAAAUCAACGCGAGCAAGAAUCAGCAGGAUGACGGUAAAAUGUUUAUUGGAGGCUUGAGCUGGGAUACGAGCAAGAAAGAUCUGACAGAGUGUUUGUCUCGAUUUGGGGAAGUUGUAGACUGCACAAUCAAAACAGAUCCAGUCACCGGAAGAUCAAGAGGAUUUGGGUUUGUGCUUUUCAAAGAUGCUGCUAGUGUUGAUAAGGUUUUGGAACUGAAAGAACACAAACUGGAUGGCAAAUUGAUAGAUCCUAAAAGGAUCUAUCAAAGCCAAAGCUUUGAAAGGCAAAGAACCCCCUAAAAAGGUUUUUGUGGGUGGAUUGAGCCCAGAUACUUCUGAAGAACAAAUUAAAGAGUAUUUUGGAGCUUUUGGAGACAUUGAAAAUAUUGAACUUCCCAUGGAUACAAAAACAAAUGAGAGAAGAAGGUUUUGCUUUAUCACAUAUACAGAUGAGGAGCCAGUAAAGAAAUUGUUAGAAAGCAGAUAUCAUCAAAUUGGUUCUGGGAAGUGUGAGAUCAAAGUUGCCCAGCCCAAGGACGUGUAUAGGCAGCAACAGCAACAACAAAAAGGAGGAAGAGGUGCUGCAGCUGGAGGAAGAGGUGGUACUAGGGGUCGUGGCCAAAACUGGAACCAAGGAUUUAAUAGCUAUUAUGAUCAAGGAUAUGGAAAUUACAAUAGUGCCUAUGGUGGUGAUCAAAACUAUAGUGGCUAUGGCGGAUAUGAUUAUACUGGGUAUAACUAUGGGAACUAUGGAUAUGGACAGGGAUAUGCAGACUACAGUGGUCAACAGAGCACUUAUGGCAAGGCAUCUCGAGGUGGUGGCAAUCACCAAAAUAAUUACCAGCCAUACUAAGGAGAACGUUAGAGAAAGCAGGAGAUGCUAAAGAAAAUCUCACCUUACAGGACUACAUUGAAGAUUGGUCUUCUGUUGAUCUGAUUAUUUUGUAAAGACUUUCUAGUGUAUAAGACACAAUUGUGUCCAACUGUAUAUAGCCGCCAGUUAGCUUUCUUUGUUUUUAGUUUGUCUUUUGCUAUGUGUUAUGACUCAAUGUGGAUUUGUUUAUACAAACUUUUAUUUGUACAAUUUCAUGUUAAACCUCAAAUAAAUGCUUCCUUAUGU